ACUUCCUCUCGCGUCUCUUUCGAUCUUCAAAAACAUAAAACCCAAACAUAUCAUCAGGUAUAACAAAACCUAAACCACCAUCUCUAACUACCACAAACCACUAACUUCUCUCUUCCUCCAUCUUUGUCUAUCUAAAAAAGAAAAAUUCAUGACACCACCAUCAUGAUCUUACCUCUAUUGUCGAUACAGUGAGUACUCCGGUAGAAGAACACUUGAUAUUUUCUACCUUUUAUGAAAAUUUUCUACUAAAUUGUUUUUUUGUAAUGUAUUUCCUAAUCUAUGUGCUCUUCCCUCACUCUUUGAUAAUCUCUAAGAAAGACUUUAACUGUGUGUGUAUGUGUGUGUUUACAGUUGUUAAAGUGAGAAGCUAUUGAAAUAGCAGACCCCCAAGAUGAAGUCGGAUGAAAAUGCAUGGCUAAAGAUCUGUUUUUCUCUUUCUCUGAUCUUUUAUUUUCUUCAAUUUCUUUACAUUUUACAUUUUGUUUUUGUAUUUAUAAGUUAGAUCAUAAUAUCAGUGCAAUAAGAUGUGAAUACCAAGAACAUUGAUGUUGCAUAGCUAUGUUGGUAUUCUUAGAGUUUUAUCCAGCAAAUGAAGGGUGGAAGAACAAACACCUAACAAGAAGGUUGAUUACUUUCUUUGAUUUUGUUCCAUAUUCUUCUGGCUCUUAUUAUGAAAAUAACUUUGUAAAACGAAAUGAAGUUGAAGUUGUUUUUUUUGUUCCUUUUGUGAUUAAUAUGGUUAAUUACUUACUGUGAUUUUAUUGGUUUUGCAUUACUUCUUGAAGUUCCAAUUCCCCAUUAUCUUUUGUAUUUCUUAUUUUGAUUUAUUUGUUCUUGGGAGGAUUUUGUAAAAUUUUAAAGCUUUGUGGGUAUUUGAAUGCAGGGUCUGUAAAGAGGAAGAUGAAGAAAUGAACAAGAUAGGGGCAAAAAGGUCAUUUAUGGUGUUUUAAUAAAAAACAUAUGGCUAUGGAUUGAUAAACAUGGGUUUAUAUUUUCUUUUCCAUUAAUUACAGUCAAUUAAAGUAUACCCAUCAGCACACAUUUUGACCAUACCGUAUCUCUCACUUAUAUCCUCAUUGCUCUUUUUGUUUGAUCUGAGCAUAUUUGAUUUGUGCAUAUUGUGUGUCUGUGUGUUUUGGCUAAAUAACAGAGGCAAAUGAAAUACAUUUACAAACCCUGAUGUAUUCUUAAUACAGGCAAAAUGAUGUUUUUUUUUCAUAAGCAACACAUAAAAGUAACCUAACGUUUAAGUUCCAGAUUCAAGAUCUCCUCUCCUGAGUCCUUGGGGGCAUCAACUGUUUGUGUCAAUUAUGUUUUCAGAAUUCUCGAUCCUUUUUGCAUCCAUUUUCAUUCUAUCGUGUUCAAAACUGCAUAACAUUUGUAGGUUUGUAGUAUAAAGAGAAUCUAUGUGAAGUACCACAAUGUGUACAAGACAAAUGCAAUGAAGGUGGUGAGGUUUGAUUGCAUUAAAAAUCGUGCUAAGAAACAUGAUGCAAGAAAUUGCAAUCCGAAAGCUCUUGAUGAACUUCAAUGGGAUCUUCAUCAUAUUGUUGGUGGACUUCAGUUGGAUCUUCAUCAUGUUGUUGGUGGACUCAUGGACAAUUUCUAAAGUCAUCUAUUCAAUACCAAGGUACAUCUAUUUAAGAAAUAGCUAUGCAUUAAUGGGUUGAACGUAAGAUGUCAUCAAUUAUUUUGAAAAAGGACAUUCCCUUUACUGCUAAUUCCAAAAUAUAACGAACAUAUUUUUGUAUGUUUAUUUAUUAUAAACAUCUACUCUAAUUUUAUAUACUCCAACAAUAUAUUUUAUAUAUUUUUAUGUUAUGUUAUUGUAUUUUAUAUGGUGGUUUCAAAUUGAUAAUGUUUCAUUAAAGGACCCUACUGCUGCACUUUAUCAAAUGUUCCAAAUCAAAAUAUCAGUGGUUCUUCACUUCCUAACUAAGUGGUUGCAGCUUCAAUCUAUCAAAUGCUCACGUUAUGUAAUGUUACCGCUUUUCACCAAGUGUUCCUAUUAAUUUAAAAUGUUACAAACUAUGUCCGUAUUUAAUGAGAAGAUGGUUCUCUAAAUCAAGUGUAAAGAACAUUUAGACUAUCUGGUGAUUUAUAGCUUACUUGGUUGAAAGUUUUUUUUGUUUUUAAAAGGUGUUGUUAUGUUGCUAUCAACAAUUACCCUCUCACAACAUGACUAAAUGUAUAUUUUACUUGAUAUUUAAAUCUUAUUUAUUUAAAGUUAUUUAAUUAUAACGUAAUAAAUGAUAUUCAAAUGUGUUUAAGCAUCAUGCUUAAUAAUGUGUGUAUGAUAAUGUAUCUUAUA
This 2311-nucleotide long non-coding RNA is filed under the name Lactuca sativa (garden lettuce). RNAcentral's name for it is "long non-coding RNA (LSAT_LNC000175)". The record is from RNAcentral. Lineage: Eukaryota; Viridiplantae; Streptophyta; Magnoliopsida; Asterales; Asteraceae.